UUAAUUGGGCUUGAUCACAUGAUCCAUAUCUUCUGUGUGCCUCUUGGUGCAAGACAGUGAUGACAUCCACCCCGCAGGGCUGUUUGCUCUAUUUGCACAAGCCCGCAAAACCAGAGAGGAGUUGGUUCAUUUGUGCAGCCAUAAAGCAUUUAUUUACCUCCAGGUGAGUGCCGCACAGAGUGCAGAGUAAAGAUCGCAGGAGAGAUUUACACCUGUCUCUCCGCUCAAAAGGAGAAGCCCAUAGCCUACAGAGAUGGCCACUGGAGCCAGCUUGUCUGGGGCCGUGCUAGACAGCCCACCCCCUUUUUCUCCAGUGUGGAUUAAACAACAUCAUAAAAAAUGACCAUCAACGCGCACACUGCAAACAGACCAUUCUCCUAGGCGCCUGCCGCGCAAAGCUUUCGUUUAAGAAGCGAAUGGCGGGCUGCAGAGUGCUUCCUGCGUCUUUCGUUUUUCAACACACUUCUUUGGACACUUUCCGGGCCAUGUAAACACCGCGGAGCGUUUUGAUGUUGCUGCUGCGGGUUUGAGAGACUUGUGGGAGGCUGCUGAUGGACAUCUACCAGAUAAGGAGCCGCAGCUAUUGCACCACAAGAGAUUCUUUUUUAAAUCUGUGGCUCUUUGAGACUCUUUGGAUGCACACAUUUAAAAAAAAUGUAUCUGUGAAAAUUUCUAUAUGACAAGCUGCACACUAUUGUGCACCCUUCUUUCACCCCUGUUUUACCUGUUGCUCAUAUCUUAACUGGGCUGUCAAGCCUGCAGGCAUUUGCAAAACACAUCACACCCUUUACCUGAAUUUCGUUCACUGAACAUAUUCUGUUUAAAGAUGGUCAGAAUCACACUGUUUAUUAUAUAUUUAUAGAGGUUAAGUUCAUGAAGGCCAUAACAAGUCUUAUAUUACUAUUUUAUUUAUCUUUUAAAUGUUAACAAAAGUCCAUCUCACAUUUCUUUAGUGUACUUCUUCACAUAUUCUACAUAUUUUAAUAUAUAGUAACUGAAACCGAAUGUAGCGACAAAAAACAUGGGAUUACAUGAGGAUUAGGAGCAACAACUUGGAAAUAUAAAAAAUAUCCUUAAACACCUUGUUCAAAGAUAUUUACCUUGUACCUUAAUGCCUUUGAAAAUACUUUUUUUUAAACAUUUUUGGUAUGUGAACAAGGCAGAUUUUUUGUUUUUUGAUGCAUUUUAAAGUUCAAACUUUUAGGCAACUUGAAAUGUGAACAUUCUUUUUAAAGGUCACCCAAUAUGCAUAUGAGAAAGGAAAUUAAAGAACUGAUUUUAGAUUUUCCGGCAAUAUUUAAACUUUCUACUCACAGUACCCCUCACAGGAUCCUAGUUAGGCAGAAUGAACUACUUUAGUAACAUAACCCAAAAUUUGCUGUCCAUGCAUGUGGGUCUUAAGAGGUUAAUCUUCAAUGAAAAAUUUGGGCUAAAAUUUGAGUGUGAUGGUAAAGAAUCAAGCACACACUCAGCAAAUUCGCCCUGCACGGCACUGCUUCACAGAAGCCAGUUUAAAACUCUCCAGAUUUUUCCCAGCCAUCCAGCACAAUACGGCUUUCGCAGCCACAAACACACUCGGGCAUUUCUUUUCACUCUUCUCUUAACAAAUUUUUUUUUUUUUUUUUUUGAUGCUCAAUUUAAACACCGACCACAUUUGCUGGGACAUUAGCCAGUGGUCACUCUGCUGUCCUCAAAGCAGGGAGGGUCUCCAACAGUCCUGUCAGGGAGUUCCAUGCCCCACCGUUGUGAAAAAGGUUUCCUUUGACUUCAAAACAGGAGGACUGUAGAGGUUCUUCUUGAUGGCCACAAAUUAAAAGCUUUACCAGUCAUUUCCUAAAGUUGUCAGCAUUCACUUGCCUAACUCUUCCAUAAUUAUUUUGGAUUUUACACAGAGUUUAAAAUAUAUUAAUUUCAUUUUAAAGUUCGUUUUUUUUAAAGUGUUUGAUGCAAAUUCCCAGAAACUUUAAUAAUAAUUUUUUUUUUAUGUGCAACAAGAUAGAAACUAGGUCCGGAGCUUUUUUUUAGGAUAGUUUUUGCCAAAGUGACUCCAUUCAGCUGAAGUCACAGCACAAGAAAAAUAUUAUUCAAAUUAGAUAAGAUUUUGAGCCGACGAAAACUUGAUUUUUACUCUGCAGAAUGUUGCAGUAGAAUCUGACCGUUGCAUGGAUUUCAGUUAGAAGAAUGUGUCCAUACGUUACACUAUAUUUGAUUGGGGAAAGUGUACCGGUAUUUAAAAGUAGUAAAAUGACGAAAAUUGUUUUGUUUCGCAGGCAAAAAAGUAGAAUUUCUGUGAUGCAAAGUGCGGCUUAGAGGAAGUUAAUGGAGAACUGCAGAUUUUUCUUCAGAUUGUUUAAUGUUUUAUUUAGUCAUGGAGCCUUUCAGUCAUUUUACACUAGCCGUCUCUUCUGGAAAGCUGUGGGACUGGCAGCGUAUGUGCAACCUGGAAAUUAUAAAAGGAAGCCUUGCAUCCAGUGAAUCCAUGAGGGAAUACUGAAUGGGAGCAGCAGGAGCCAACAGAGAGCGGUGAUUUCCAAAAUGGCUCUCCUAUUGAAUGACAAUAGCCAGACCUCUAUGCCUGUCUCUUUUUCUUUCUUCAUCAGACAACAAAAAAACCCCUCUAACAUAAUAAAAAAAAAGGGGCAAGAAGAAAAUAACGAAAUGUGAUUUGUUUGGAUUGGAGCAAAUUAGAUGUGAUUUCAAUUUGCCAGCUGAGAUUUCAGUAACAAAAUUUGUCAUCCAUGUAGGAAUUUCUCUUUUUUUUGAGUGCAAAUUUGCUGGUAUUUUUUGAUUUUUUUUUUGCAAAUAAUCAAGAUAUUUAGUAAAAUUUCAUUUUAGGAUGUGCAGAAAUACAUAAUCUUUAGAUCACACAGAGAGUAGAUUGUUAGCUUCAUGAGACUUUUUGAAAAUUAAAACACAAAAAAGUAAAAUAUUUUACUUCUUUGUGCAACAAAAACCUUUUUGGUGGAAAAUUGUCUUCCACUAAGUGCAUUAAAUUAGUUAUUUUCCCUGUGUCACUGUACCAUCCUUCAUUUGUGCUAUGACAGUUAUUUAUAUUCCAAAAUUUUUCAUUUAGUUUUGUGUUUGGUUUUUGUUUCACACCACCAGGCUGUUUAUUUUUCUUAAAUGUAUGGGAUUGUAAGACAGGAGCCCUACUUAUUCUCUCAACCUUCAAGGAUAGGGAAGAUUUUUUUCAAUAAAUAAUUCACCACUGAUAGCCAGACCUAAUGCAUACAUGAACAAAUCUCUCAGUUACAGCCAUCCUGGGAGUAAGCCAGUCCAUGAGCAUACUUAAUAAACACAUACAGAGCCUGGCAAGCUCUAGUUUCACUGAUGUCUUUCCGAGAGGAAAGUAUUUGAAGACAGUUGGUGAAACAGCAUCCUUUCUGAGGGUGAAGGUUUAGGGGUCAGGUGUGGGUUUUGCUGUAAGGCCACGUCAUCUCGUUGCGCUGUUGCUGCUGAUCCUCGGGAUAGAUUUACUGUCUGUUUUACACAGAUCGUAAUGUAAGUGUUUCUUCAGCUAUAUCUGACAUUUAUGUCUAAAAGAUUUUAUGAUCUUGCACCAAGACAAAUGGCAUAGAAACCCUACACGCGGAAUAGCCAAAUGUACAAAUAAGCCCAUGUAUAAACACAGGUAUGUGCCUCAUAUCUACACUGCAGUCUGUUUGAGCCCGUUAUCUUUUGUGUCCACAUUUACGACCGCAGGAUUGACUCAGUAUCAGAACCUCACAUUGACCACAUGUGCUCUUCACCCAGAAACAUAAUCCAGACAUGAUUCCUCUAACUCCUUUGGCUGAGGUGGCCAGAUGUGCACAUCCCGGCGGAGCUGCCUUGGAGAAGGAUCCCGGUAUCACGUGUCAGUUGGAUGACAAAGGGACAAAGAAGCAGCUGUGAAGAGCCUGGAAAGUCGCCCGGUGCUUCGCCCCUCACCUGUGUCCCCUCUGCCCGUUAGGGCCAUCAAGUCUCUGUGAAGGUGGGAAGGGAAUCAUUGGAGCGUAAAUGGUGACCAUUAUAUCCUGAUCGACCCAGCUGCUGAGGAUGAUGCAUCCCAGAGUUGAUGACUGACAGCCCCCUUACUCUAAAGCCGGUGUACCCUUUUGGAAACGCUCAAAAUCUACAAGUUUAUUAUUUAACACAUUGUAAAAAAAACACGUUUUUAAAAGACUGUACAUUACACGACACAAUGUUUGAGUAAAUUAUAAAUGUAAACACCAGAAUGUAAAGUUUAAAAUUUCUGUUUCUUACACAUUUUUCCAGAAUUAACAAGUGUUAAUGUUAAAGUUACUUAAUGAGGGAACCCCUUAAAAAGGGCCUAGCCCUAGAUCCUCCAAUACUUCUUAAUAUUAAGGUGUAUGUCUAUUUCAUAAUGUUAUGUCUAAUAAAAAAGAACAUGAAUCAUG
Long non-coding RNA from Oryzias latipes (Japanese medaka), 4397 nucleotides. RefSeq lists it as uncharacterized. The record is from RefSeq and is a predicted model, not a curated record. NCBI's taxonomy places the organism in Eukaryota, Metazoa, Chordata, Actinopteri, Beloniformes, Adrianichthyidae.